This 497-nucleotide ribosomal RNA is filed under the name uncultured bacterium. RNAcentral's name for it is "partial 16S ribosomal RNA". It matches the Rfam family "Bacterial small subunit ribosomal RNA", at positions 28 to 507 of the family's 1533-position model. The record is from RNAcentral.
GAUGAACGCUGGCGGCGUGCCUAAUACAUGCAAGUCGAGCGAACAGACGAGGAGCUUGCUCCUUUGACGUUAGCGGCGGACGGGUGAGUAACACGUAGGUAACCUACCUAUAAGACUGGGAUAACUUCGGGAAACCGGAGCUAAUACCGGAUAAUAUUUCGAACCGCAUGGUUCGAUAGUGAAAGAUGGCUUUGCUAUCACUUAUAGAUGGACCUGCGCCGUAUUAGCUAGUUGGUAAGGUAACGGCUUACCAAGGCAACGAUACGUAGCCGACCUGAGAGGGUGAUCGGCCACACUGGAACUGAGACACGGUCCAGACUCCUACGGGAGGCAGCAGUAGGGAAUCUUCCGCAAUGGGCGAAAGCCUGACGGAGCAACGCCGCGUGAGUGAUGAAGGUCUUCUGAUCGUAAAACUCUGUUAUUAGGGAAGAACAAUCGUGUAAGUAACUGUGCACGUCUUGACGGUACCUAAUCAGAAAGCCACGGCUAACUACGUG